RNAcentral lists this ribosomal RNA (245 nucleotides) under uncultured bacterium. RNAcentral describes it as "partial 16S ribosomal RNA". It matches the Rfam family "Bacterial small subunit ribosomal RNA", at positions 88 to 334 of the family's 1533-position model. The record is from RNAcentral.
CUGGCGACCGGCGCACGGGUGAGUAACACGUAUCCAACCUGCUGAUAACUCGGGGAUAGCCUUUCGAAAGAAAGAUUAAUACCCGAUGGCAUAAUUAGACCGCAUGGUCUUAUUAUUAAAGAAUUUCGGUUAUCGAUGGGGAUGCGUUCCAUUAGGCAGUUGGUGAGGUAACGGCUCACCAAACCUUCGAUGGAUAGGGGUUCUGAGAGGAAGGUCCCCCACAUUGGAACUGAGACACGGUCCAA